GACGAACGCUGGCGGCGUGGAUUAGGCAUGCAAGUCGAACGGUAGGAUACCUUCGGGUAUCUGAGAGUGGCGAACGGGUGAGUAACACGUAGGUGAUCUACCCUCAAGAUUGGGACAACCCAGGGAAACUUGGGCUAAUACCGGAUGAAAGCAGCAGUGAUGUUGUUUGAAAGGUGGCGUAAGCUGCCGUUUGGGGAUGAGCCUGCGCUCUAUUAGUUAGUUGGCGGGGUAAAGGCCCACCAAGGCGAUGAUAGAUAGGCGGCCUUAACGGGUGGUCGCCCACACUGGGAUUGAGAUACGGCCCAGACUCCUACGGGAGGCAGCAGUCGAGAAUAGUCUACAAUGGCCGAAAGGCUGAUAGUGCGACGCCGCGUGACGAAGAAGCCUCGGGUGUAAGUACUUUAUUAUGUGAGCAGUGCUUCUUAUGUGAACAGCAUGGGAGGAGAGAUAUUAGUCAUAUGAACUAAGACAACGGACGUAACUACCGUCGCCACG
This 495-nucleotide ribosomal RNA is filed under the name uncultured bacterium. RNAcentral's name for it is "bacterial SSU rRNA". It matches the Rfam family "Bacterial small subunit ribosomal RNA", at positions 28 to 519 of the family's 1533-position model. The record is from RNAcentral.